AGAGUUUGAUCAUGGCUCAGGAUGAACGCUGGCGGUAUGCUUAACACAUGCAAGUCGAACGAGAGACUUCGGUCUUUAGUGGCGGACGGGUGAGUAACGCGUGAGAAUCUGCCUUUAGGACGGGGACAACAGUUGGAAACGGCUGCUAACACCCGAUGUGCCCUUAGGGGUGAAAUAUUUAUAGCCUGAAGAUGAGCUCGCGUCUGAUUAGCUAGUAGGUGCGGUAAUGGCGUACCUAGGCGACGAUCAGUAACUGGUCUGAGAGGAUGACCAGUCACACUGGGACUGAGACACGGCCCAGACUCCUACGGGAGGCAGCAGUGGGGAAUUUUCCGCAAUGGGCGCAAGCCUGACGGAGCAAUACCGCGUGAGGGAGGAAGGCUCUUGGGUCGUAAACCUCUUUUAUCAGGGAAGAACACAAUGACGGUACCUGAUGAAUCAGCAUCGGCUAACUCCGUGCCAGCAGCCGCGGUAAUACGGAGGAUGCAAGCGUUAUCCGG
RNAcentral lists this ribosomal RNA (500 nucleotides) under uncultured cyanobacterium. RNAcentral describes it as "bacterial SSU rRNA". It matches the Rfam family "Bacterial small subunit ribosomal RNA", at positions 8 to 548 of the family's 1533-position model. The record is from RNAcentral. Lineage: Bacteria; Bacillati; Cyanobacteriota.